Molecule: non-coding RNA, 213 nt
Organism: Pelobates cultripes (western spadefoot toad)
Lineage: Eukaryota; Metazoa; Chordata; Amphibia; Anura; Pelobatidae
Source: the annotation of a GenBank genome assembly
AAGAAAACCAAGUAAUGUGGCCACAACCAGAUAGAGGAAGGGUUACUGCAGUACCCAAAUACCUAAAUUAAAAAAAUCUAAUAACUCUGCACUCUAUGGCUCAAACAGGGUCAAAUCCCCAAAAAAACAAAAUAAAUAAACCAUUGCAGCACAACUAGAUGCCAAAUGCGCACAGGGAGUUUCACUGCCUUGGUUUCCGUAUAUUCUGUUAAG